RNAcentral lists this long non-coding RNA (547 nucleotides) under Coffea arabica (coffee). RNAcentral's name for it is "long non-coding RNA (CARA_LNC004896)". Lineage: Eukaryota; Viridiplantae; Streptophyta; Magnoliopsida; Gentianales; Rubiaceae. The record is from RNAcentral.
AGGAUUACCGAUCUCAAGUUUUCGGGUUGAUUAAGUCGUUGAAGUAUUUGGAUAAGAUGGAUGCGGAGGAAAAUGAGAGACCUGAGUCGGAUGAUGAGGAGGAGGAUGAAGAGGACGACGAGGAUGAUCCUGGAAGUGGAGAAGUCGAUGGCGAGGAUAGGCCGUUUAGUUUGAAUAACGGGCAUACAGGUGGGAGUGAAGGGAUUGUUGAUGUGGAUGAGGAUGAGGAGAGUGAUGCCGAUGAGGAGGAGACGGAGACUUCCAGAGGGGCUAAUGGGGUCAGCCGAGCUUUUCACCAUCAGGCAAAUGGGUUUCGGGUUGAGGGGGUGGAUGGGGAGGACGAUGAGGAUGAUGAUGGAGAGGGGGAGGACGAGGAGGACAACGAUUCUGUGGAGGAGAUUGAUGAAGAGGAGGGCGAUGACGAGGAUGUUGUUGAGGUUCAUGAGAUUGAGGAUAGUGAUGACGAGGAAGAUGGGGUGGACGAUGAUGAUGAUGAUGAGGACGAUGAUGAAGAGGAGGACGAGGAAGAGGUGGAUAAUGAUGAGGG